Homo sapiens (human) is the source of this 2272-nucleotide long non-coding RNA. The record is from Ensembl. NCBI's taxonomy places the organism in Eukaryota, Metazoa, Chordata, Mammalia, Primates, Hominidae.
ACUUGACAUUGAAAAUUGCUACAUUAAAUACCCAGCUCCUCUGCGCGAUUACAGCAGCCUCCGGAGCUCUCCCAAAUUGUCACCUAGGAUGAAUAUGACAGCAAACAAUGCUUUAAAAUGACUUUGAGUUUUAUGCAAUUUCUUGUAUAAAAGGAGAGCCUGAGUCCAUGGAAGUUGGGAUUGAACAUCCUGAAUAUGCAGUUCCUUGGAGAGCCACCAAGAAAAGACCUAAGCAAGAGACAUGAUGUCACCUUCGGGGAGGAGGCUCUUCAAGCUGUUUGGCAUGAGAAGAGGAGGAAUGAGGAGGAUCACUGGCCUUGAACCCCCAAAGAGAGGCUAGAGCACCUUUCUAGGACCCAGUCCAGGGUUUGUCUUGAACAUCCAGCUCCAAAAGAGAUGCUGUGCAGAUUCAAGCUGCCAAGUCCUGAAGGACCUGAGGGAAAACCCAACCCCAAGCAGCCCAGAUGGUAUCUGAGUAUCCUGUGCCCUACCCACGAAGAUCAGGAGCCUAAAGGCUAGAGCUCACUGCAGAACCAGACCAAAGACAGUUUAAGGGCCAUUGAGCCAAGCCUUCCUGACCUCCCAUGGAGAGGGGAAGAGAGAACAGGACCUCCACUUAUCCACCUACCCGCUGCUGAGUCCCUUUAGCCCUUGGCAUGGUAAUUAACGGUCAGGAAGUUAUGCAUCAGCCUCAGCAAGCUAACAUGGCAGGAGAUCCCUCCUGACAGCAGAGCUAAUAAGAAAUUUGCUAAUGCAAUUUAUCACUUUAAAAAGCCAUAUGUCGGUGGGGAUGAGCACUUCUCUGCAGCAGCUAGUGUAAUUGUCAGAACAGAGCAGCGAGCAGCUCUGAGAAGGGGGUGAGGAUGAUGUCUUCACUAAAUCAGUGGUGCAAUGCAGCAGGCGAGGGGGCUGGGAGGAGGGGUGUGGUGCUGGGUGGAGGGCUCCCAGCUCUCAAACUCCCAGGAAGCCAGUGCUGCAGACCUGUUCUGGGGCCCCAUUAAAAACCAGAUUCCCUGAACUCCAGCCCCUGCUGCCUUUGAGCUGCAUGAACCUGCGCUUUGGUUCCUGCCACAGUGUUAAAAAAGAAGCGACUCUGUCUGCAGUAAUGGCUGAUCUAAGUCUCAGCCAUUGAGUGUCAACACACAGGACCCCACUCCAGCUCCUCCUGGGGGCAGGGCUGAUGCCAUGUGCACAUUUGGUCUUUCUCUCCCAGACCCCUGCGAUAACUUCAUCCAGGACAAGGGCCACUGGUCCUUAGUCAGAGGCAGGGAAAGAUUAGAAAUCCACCUCAGGCCCAACAACAUCUCUGCUUUCAGUUUAGACAAAAGGCAAAUUGCUUUGAGUACCCAGUGUUUGCCAAAAUAAAGAGUGGUUUCUGCAAAGGGGAAAAACUGCUGUUGUGGGAUUUUGCUUCAAACACUCAAUUGCAAACCAUUUUUCCCAAAGCAAAUUGAUAGAGAAGCAAGUAAAACAGGUGCCCCUUCUGGGAAUGAAGUCCAGGGCUGCUGGGAAGGCUGUGGGAAGGAAUAAGAAUAUCCACACGGCUGGAUCUCCACUGCUUUCUGGAAUAGUCCCCACUCUCAGUUAUCUGUGGAAUGAGAGGGGCUGGGGAGAGGGAUGAGGUAGGGCAAGCCACCACCACCAACACCCAGAGAAACAUCACACUCAGUUUCCACCAACUAAACUUCCCUCUAAAGCAAAUUUUGACCCUAAUUGUUCUCUGUCCUUUAAAUUAAUGCUUUUUUUUUUUAAGACGGAGUUUCACUCCUGUUGCCCAAGCUAGAGUGCAGUGGCAUGAUCUCGGCUCACUGCAACCUCUGCCUCCUGGGUUCAAGUGAUUCUCCUGCUUUAGCCUCCCAAGUAGCUGGGAUUACAGGUGCCCACCACCACACCCAGCUAAUUUUUUGUAUUUUUAGUAGAGAGGGGGUUUCACCAUCUUGGCCAGGCUGGUCUCGAUCUCCUGACCUCAGGUAAUCCACCUGCCUUGGCCUCCCAAAAUGCUGGGAUUACAGGUGUGAGCCACCACGCCCAGCCUAAAUUAAUGCUUUGAAUUUUGCAUGGAGACACUGAAGGAAGACAAAGUACAAGGACCCAAGUAAUAACCAAUAGAAAGAAGAAAUCCCAUGCCAGGGGCCUGGACAGCCCAAGACGUGUAUAUAAGCUCCACGUUGCCUUCCUGUUUAAGACCUUCUGCUCAGCUCAUACUGAUGGAAAUGGCAUGGGUGGGCAUGGGGGAAGUAUAGCCUCAUGACUCUCCAGCCUUCAGGGUGAU